UGUGUGUGUGUUAUAUAUAUAUAUAUAUAUAGACACACACACACACAGAUAUAUAUAUGGACAUUAGAAGUGUCUAGAGUGUUCUCCAUUCAGAGCCCAUGGUAUUAGAGUCUGAGGAGGGAGAAGUAGUAUAGUACCACAAUUUUUAUUGUUUUUAGUUAGUUAGAUCCAUUUUCUUUCCAUCGAUUGAUAAUAAAGCCCGGGGAGAGAGAAGUAGUCUAGAAAGAUCGAGGUUUGAGGAGCAGUAGGGACCUUAAUAUAGAUACUUAGGCUUGGUCUGAGGAGCAGUAUCAGAAAACCUAAGCUGUGUCGAAAGGAGGGACAAGUUAGGUAUUUUGAUAAUAACAAGGACUGAUGAGCAAUAGGGGUAUCAAUCAAGAUUAUCUCGGCUUGAUCCGAAGAACAUAGGGAUUUUACGAUCGCUAAGAUCUGAACAGAUACUCGGGUAUAGGAUUGCUUCAAGGCAUGCCAUUAUCGACGAAGGCUAGGGAGAGCCGCUAUAGACGUAAGCAGUAAAGACUGCAGAGAAAACUAUUUUUGGCACCUAAGUUGGGUAACCGUUUUAGAUUCUCGUUUCAGAUCCUCUUGUGUUAAGUCUCCUAAGAUGGU
Molecule: long non-coding RNA, 609 nt
Filed under: Elaeis guineensis (African oil palm)
Lineage: Eukaryota; Viridiplantae; Streptophyta; Magnoliopsida; Arecales; Arecaceae
Description: long non-coding RNA (EGUI_LNC069033)
Source: RNAcentral